Pristionchus pacificus is the source of this 57-nucleotide non-coding RNA. The record is from Rfam. Lineage: Eukaryota; Metazoa; Nematoda; Chromadorea; Rhabditida; Neodiplogasteridae.
CGGACUUUCAACAGGCCAUACACCUAAUGUUAUGUAUGGCACUGCUGAAGGUCCGAA